CCCAACCGUCCCAAAUGUCACAACCACAAAACUCUGUUUUGGACGAGACUGACUUUAUGACCAAAAUGAUCCUAUUUACACUUAUAAUACAUGUUUCUAGAUGAGAAGUUUUUUUAGGGGCAUUAGCUAUUUAAUCUCCAUUUUAUCUCUUUGCCGAUGCCAACAGAUGGCGGAACUGCUGAAGGAGGAACUGCAGAUGGAGGAACUGCUGAAGGAGGUUAUGUUGAGUUAUGUUGAGCAGGAAGCAUCUGAAUCGACUCUUUUGUCCAGAAAGUCACUGAGCAGCUCCACACUGUACCACAGACUCAUGAGGUGGAGGAGCUGAGGGACCUGUCAUGGUUGUCAGGGGUAGUACAGGUCUCCUUUCUCCUGGUGCCAAAGGCAGACAAAGGCAAGUUCCACAUGGGCAUCUACCCACUGGGAACUUGCACCAAACCAGACAUCUCAGUCGAUCUGGCAGUCACUAUUCCUGCGGAUGUCCUGCACCCUAAAGAUGCCCUAAACCAGAGGUACCCACGGAAAAGGGUCCUCUCGCGACAUUGGGACCAUGCGGUUUUUGUGUCUCCAUGGCAACCGUCUCCGCCCCCUCCUGUUGCUUACCCCUCCAG
This is a long non-coding RNA of Oncorhynchus keta (chum salmon), 608 nucleotides long. RefSeq lists it as uncharacterized. NCBI's taxonomy places the organism in Eukaryota, Metazoa, Chordata, Actinopteri, Salmoniformes, Salmonidae. The record is from RefSeq and is a predicted model, not a curated record. The transcript is spliced from 3 exons.